RNAcentral lists this long non-coding RNA (4361 nucleotides) under Actinidia chinensis (golden kiwifruit). RNAcentral's name for it is "long non-coding RNA (ACHI_LNC000928)". The record is from RNAcentral. Lineage: Eukaryota; Viridiplantae; Streptophyta; Magnoliopsida; Ericales; Actinidiaceae.
CGUUGUCAAGAGCAUUAGUCCUCGCAAACAAAACAAAUGAAAAACAGUCACUACUUAUUACUUAAAAUUCAAAUCAGCAUAAUUUAAAAUAGACAAAACAUAGCAUAAGCCAUUGUCUAAUAAUACCUAAUUAACUUGAGCUUGAAGUUGAACCCGGGUAACUUCAUGUUCAAGUUAACUACGGUUCAAGAUAAAUGUACAAAAUUUAAACUAAUUUUUACAUACCUUAAUAUUUACAAGUGUGGAAAUACGUAUUUGAGAGUACCUGGACCUAGGCAUCGGUAUUAGCGUGGUACAUCCAAUCGAGUCCGUUAGUCAAGAGCAUUAGUCCUCGCAAACAAAACAAAUAAAAAACUGUCACUACGUAUUACUUAAAAUUCAAAUCAACAUACUUUGAAAUAGACAAAACAUAACAUAAUCCAUUGUCUAAUAAUACCUAAUUAACUUGAGCUUGAAGUUGAACUCGGGUAACUUCAAGUCCAAGUUAAUUACGGUUCAAGAUAAAUGUACGAAAUUUAAAGUAACUUUUACGUACCUCAAUAUUUAAAAGUGUGGAGAUACGUAUUUGAGAAUACCUGGGCUUAGGCAUCGGUAUUAGCGUUGUACAUCCAAUCGAGUCCGUUAGCCAAGAGUAUUAAUUCUCGCAAACCAAAUAAACGAAAAACAAUCACUACUUAUUACUUAAAAUUCUAAUCGCAUAAUUUAAAAUAGGACCAAAGAACCUUUAAUAGCAUGUCUACAUAAUUACCUACUUACUUGAGCCUGGAAGUGAACCCGGGUAACUUCAAGGUCAAGUUUAUUACUGUUCAAGAUAAAUGUACAAAAUUUAAAGUAAUAUUUACGUACCUCAAUAUUUAAAAGUGUGGAGAUACAUAUUUGAGAGUACUUGGGCCUAGGCAUCGGUAUUAGCGUGGUACAUCCAAUCGAGUUCGUUAGUCAAGAGCAUUAGUCCUCGCAAACAAAAUAAAUAAAAAACAGUCACUACUUACUACUUAAAAUUCAAAUCAGUAUAAUUUGAAAUAGACAAAAUAUAACAUAAACUAUUGUGUAAAAAACAUACAUAACUUGACCUGAAGUUGAAACCGGGUAACUUAAGGUCAAGUUUAUUACUGUUAAAGAUAAAUGUACAAAAUUUAAAGUAAUAUUUCUACCUCAAUAUUUAAAAGUGUGAGAUACGUAUUGGAGAGUUAUGGGCCAGGCCAUCGGUAUUAGCGUGGUACAUCCAAUUGAAUCCGUUAGGCAGAGCGUAUAGUCCUCGCCAAACAAAAUAAAUGAAAAACAAUCUCUACUUAUUACUAAAAAUUCCAAAUCAGCAUAUUUAAAUAAACAAAACAUAAAAUAAGCCAUUGUCUAAUAGUACUAAUUAACUUGAGCCUUAAUUGAACCGGGUAACGUCAAGUUCAAGUUAAUUACGGUUCAAGAUAAAUGUACAAUAUGUAAAAUAAUUUUUUACAACCUAAUAUUUAAAAGUGUUGGAGAUACGUAUUUGAGAUACCUGGGCAUAGGCAUCGGUAUUAGCGUGGUACAUCCAAUCGAUUCCAUAGUCAAGAGCAUUAUCCUCGCAAACAAGAAAAAUUAAAAAACAAUCACUAACUUAUUACUAAAAUUCAAAUCAAGCCCUACGUGAAAAUAGACAAACCAUACACAUAAGCCAUUGUAUAAUAAUACCAGUUAACUUGAGCUUGAGUUGAACCCGGUUAACUUCAUGCUCCAGUAAUUACGGUUCAGAUAAAGUAAAAAAAUUAAUGAAUUUUUAUGUUCUUCAAAUUUAAAAGUGUGGAGAUAUGUAUUUGAGGAGUACUGUGGCCUAGGCAUUCGUAUUAGGCGUGGACAAUCCAAUCGAGUCCGUUGUCAAUACAUUAGUUCAUCGCAAAACAAAACAAAUGAAAAACAGUUCACUACUAUUUACUUAAAAUUCCAAAUCAGCAUAAUAAAUAGACAAACAUAACAUAAAGCCCAUUGUCUAAUUAAUAACUUGAGCUUAAGUUGAAACCCGGUAACUCAUGUUCAAGUAACUACGGUUUAAGAUAAAUGUACAAAAUUUAAACAAUUUUUACAUCCUUAAUAUUACAAGUGUGGAAAUACGUAUUUGAGAGUACCUUGGCAUACGCAUCAGUAUUAGCGUGGUACAUCCAAUCGAGUUCAUUAGUCAAGAGCAUUAGUCCUCGCAAACAAAAAAAAUUAAAAAACAGUCACUACUUACUACUUAAAAUUCAAAUCAAUAUAAUUCGAAAUAGACAAACAUAACAUAAACCAUUGUGUAAUAAAACAUAAUUAACUUGAGUUUGAACUUGAACCCGGGUAACUUCAAGUUCAAGUUAAUUACGGUUCAAGAUAAAUGUACAAAAUUUAAAGUAAUUGUUACAUACCUCAAUAUUUAAAAGUGUGGAGAUACAUAUUUGAGAAUACCUAGGCCUAGGCAUCGCUAUUAGCGUGGUACAUGCAAUCAAGUCUAUUAGUCAAGAUCAUGAGGCCUCGCAAAAAAAUAUAAAAAAGUCACCACGUAUUACCCCAAAAUUCAAAUACGUAAAAUUUAAAAUAGACAAAAUAGAACGUAAGGCAUUGUCUAAAAUCACCUAAUUAACUUGAGUUUGAAAUUGAACCCAGAGUACUUCAAGGUCAAGUUUAUUACGGUUUAAGAUAAAUGUACAAAAUUUUAAGUAAUGUUGUUUACGUACCUCAAUAUUUAGUAAGUGUGGAAUGACGUAUUUGACAGUACAUGGCCUAGGGCAUGGCUAUAGCUGGUACAUGCCAAGUCGAGUCAAUUGGUCAAGAAGUAUUAGUUUUUCGCAAAACAAAAGUAAAUGAAAAACAGUCAUUUUUUUUGUGUUUUGGGUUCCUACUUAUUAACUUAAAAUUAAAGUUAUAUAAUUUAAAAUAGACAAAACAUAACAGUAAGCUCAUUUUCUAAUAAUAUCUAAUUAACUUGAUUUGAAAGUUGAACUCGGAAGUAGCUUCAAGUUAAGGUUAAUUCCAGUGGCAAGAAAAAUUGUACAGAAAUUUAAAGUAAUUUUGUACGUACCUCAAUAUUUAAAAGUGUGAGAUACAUGUUGGGAUUACCUGGCCCAUAGGGCAUCGGUAUGUAUCUUGGUACAUCCAAGUCGAUCCGUUAGGUCAAGAGCAUUAGUCCUCGCAACAAAGAUAAAUGAAAAACAGGUCACUACUUACUACUUAAAAUUUCGAAUCAGUAUAAUUGUAAUAGACAAAACAUCAUAAACCAGUGUGGUAAUUAAAACUUAAUUAACUGUGAGGCCUCGAAAUUGUGAACCCGGGCAACUUUCAAGGUCAAGUUUAUUUACGGUUCAAUAUAAAUGUACAAAAUUUAACUAAUUUUUACGACCUCAAUAUUUAAAAGUGUGGAGAUCGUAUUUGAGAGUACCUGGCCUAGACCAUCGGUAUUAGCGUGGUACAUCCAAUUGAGUGCCGGUAGUCAAGAGCAUUAGUUCUCGUAAAACAAAACAACGAAAAUUGUCACUACUUUUACUAAAAUUCAAUCAGCAUAAUUUCAAAUAGACAAAACAUAAAAUAAGUCAUCGUCUAAUAAAACGUAAUUAACUUGAGGUUAAAGUUGAACCCGGGAAACUUCAAGUUCAAGUUAAUUACAGUUCAAGAUAAAUGUACAAAAUUUUAAGUAAUUUUUACGUACCUCAAUAUUUAAAAGUGUGGGCAUACAUAUUUGAGAAUACCUGGGCCUAGGCAUCAGUAUUAGCGUGGUACAUCCAAUCGAGUCCGUUAGUCAAGAGUAUUAGUCCUCGCAAACAAAAUAAAUGAAAAACAGUCACUACUUAUUACUUAAAAUUCAAAUCAGUUAAUUUGAAAUAGACAAAUAUAAUAUAAACUAUUGUGUAAUAAAACAUAAUUAACUUGAAGCUUGAAGUUGAACCCGGUACCUUCAAGUCAAGUUAAUUACGGUUCAAGAUAACGUACAAAAUUAAAGUAAUUUUACGACCUCACUAGUUAAAAGUGUGGAGAUACGUAUUUGAAUACUUGGGCUUAGGCAUCGUAUUAGCGUGGUAGCAUCAAUCGAGCCGUAGUCAAGACAUUAGUCCUCGCAAACAAAAAUAAAUAAAAACAUCAUUUACUUAUUACUAAAAAUUCAAAUCAGCAUAAUUUAAAAUAAACAAAACAUAAAAUAACCAUUGUCUAAUAUUACCUAAUUAAAUUGAGCCUGAAGUUGAACCCGGGUAACUUCAAGUUCAAGUUAAUUACGGUUCAAGAUAAAUGUACAAUAUUUAAAAUAAUUUUUACAUACCUCAAUAUUUAAAAGUGUGGAGAUACGUAUUUGAGAGUACCUGGGCCUAGGCAUCGGUAUUAGCGUGGUACAUCCAAUCGAGUCCGUUAGUCAAGAGCAUUAGUCCUCG